GAUGAACGCUAGCGGCAGGCCUAACACAUGCAAGUCGAGGGGGAGGUUACUUUCGGGUAACUGAGACCGGCGUACGGGUGCGUAACGCGUAUACAAUCUGCCUUUCACUGGGGGAUAGCCCGAAGAAAUUUGGAUUAAUACCCCAUAGUAUAGUAAUACGGCAUCGUGAUGCUAUUAAAGCUUAGGUGGUGAAAGAUGAGUAUGCGUUCUAUUAGCUAGUUGGAGAGGUAACGGCUCCCCAAGGCGAUGAUAGAUAGGGAUUCUGAGAGGGAUGUCCCCCACACUGGUACUGAGAUACGGACCAGACUCCUACGGGAGGCAGCAGUGAGGAAUAUUGGACAAUGGUCGGAAGACUGAUCCAGCCAUGCCGCGUGCAGGAUGAAGGUCUUAUGGAUUGUAAACUGCUUUUGUAAGGGAAGAAUAAGGGCUACGCGUAGUUUGAUGACGGUACCUUACGAAUAAGCAUCGGCUAACUCCGUG
This 480-nucleotide ribosomal RNA is filed under the name uncultured bacterium. RNAcentral's name for it is "partial 16S ribosomal RNA". It matches the Rfam family "Bacterial small subunit ribosomal RNA", at positions 28 to 507 of the family's 1533-position model. The record is from RNAcentral.